AGUGAACGCUGGCGGUAGGCCUAACACAUGCAAGUCGAACGGCAGCACAGUAAGAGCUUGCUCUUACGGGUGGCGAGUGGCGGACGGGUGAGGAAUACAUCGGAAUCUACUUUUUCGUGGGGGAUAACGUAGGGAAACUUACGCUAAUACCGCAUACGACCUACGGGUGAAAGCAGGGGAUCUUCGGACCUUGCGCGAUUGAAUGAGCCGAUGUCGGAUUAGCUAGUUGGCGGGGUAAAGGCCCACCAAGGCGACGAUCCGUAGCUGGUCUGAGAGGAUGACCACACACAGUGGAGCUGAACCACGACCACGCCUCCUAGGGGAGGAAGCAGGGGGAAAUGUGGAACAAGGGCCCAAAGCCUAACCCACCCACGCCGCGUGGGAGAAGAAGCCCUUCGGUUUUAAAACCCUUUUUUUGGGAAAAAAAAAGCAGCUGUUAAACCCCCCGCUUUUCUGGGGGACCCAAAAAAAUAGGCCCCGCCUAACUUCGUG
Molecule: ribosomal RNA, 492 nt
Filed under: uncultured bacterium
Lineage: Bacteria
Description: partial 16S ribosomal RNA
Rfam family: Bacterial small subunit ribosomal RNA
Source: RNAcentral